GACGAACGCUGGCGGCGUGCUUAACACAUGCAAGUCGAACGGAACGGUCGCUUCGGGUGUCCCAGAGUGGCGAAAGGGUGAGUAACACGCGCGUAACCUGCGAUUGACUCAGGGAAAUCUUAAGGAAAAUGGGGCAAAUACUGGAUAGGAAUCAUUGCUCCCCGGUGGGGGUUGGCACGCUUCGGCGGUUUUGGAUGGGCGUGCGGCCCAGCAGCUUGUUGGUGGGGUAGCGGCUUACAAAGGCUAUGACGGGUAGCCGGCCUGGGAGGGCGACCGGCCACAGUGACACUGGGACACGGCCCAGACGCCUACGGGAGGCAGCAGCAGGGAAGAGUGCACUAGGAGCGGAGGCCUGAGGCAGCAACGCCGCGGGCGGGAGGACGACGAACGGGUUGUAAUCCGCUUGCAGCAUGAGCGGAGCUGGUAGUGACGGUACCUGCAGAAGAAGCACCGGCUAACUACGUG
This 465-nucleotide ribosomal RNA is filed under the name uncultured bacterium. RNAcentral describes it as "partial 16S ribosomal RNA". It matches the Rfam family "Bacterial small subunit ribosomal RNA", at positions 28 to 507 of the family's 1533-position model. The record is from RNAcentral.